GUGGGGAAUAUUGGACAAUGGGCGAAAGCCUGAUCCAGCCAUGCCGCGUGUGUGAAGAAGGUCUUCGGAUUGUAAAGCACUUUAAGUUGGGAGGAAGGGCAGUAAGUUAAUACCUUGCUGUUUUGACGUUACCAACAGAAUAAGCACCGGCUAACUUCGUGCCAGCAGCCGCGGUAAUACGAAGGGUGCAAGCGUUAAUCGGAAUUACUGGGCGUAAAGCGCGCGUAGGUGGUUCAGCAAGUUGGAGGUGAAAUCCCCGGGCUCAACCUGGGAACUGCCUCCAAAACUGCAUGACUAGAGUACGGUAGAGGGUAGUGGAAUUUCCUGUGUAGCGGUGAAAUGCGUAGAUAUAGGAAGGAACACCAGUGGCGAAGGCGACUACCUGGACUGAUACUGACACUGAGGUGCGAAAGCGUGGGGAGCAAACAGGAUUAGAAACCCCUGUAGUCC
RNAcentral lists this ribosomal RNA (450 nucleotides) under uncultured bacterium. Its description in RNAcentral is "bacterial SSU rRNA". It matches the Rfam family "Bacterial small subunit ribosomal RNA", at positions 354 to 796 of the family's 1533-position model. The record is from RNAcentral.